Molecule: ribosomal RNA, 607 nt
Filed under: uncultured bacterium
Lineage: Bacteria
Description: bacterial SSU rRNA
Rfam family: Bacterial small subunit ribosomal RNA
Source: RNAcentral
AGAGUUUGAUCCUGGCUCAGAUUGAACGCUGGCGGCAUGCUUUACACAUGCAAGUCGAACGGCAGCACGAGUGCUUGCACUUGGUGGCGAGUGGCGAACGGGUGAGUAAUGCAUCGGAACGUGUCUUAAAGUGGGGGAUAACGCAUCGAAAGAUGUGCUAAUACCGCAUAUACUCUGAGGAGGAAAGUAGGGGAUCGAAAGACCUUAUGCUUUGAGAGCGGCCGAUGUCUGAUUAGCUAGUUGGUAAGGUAAAGGCUUACCAAGGCGACGAUCAGUAGUUGGUCUGAGAGGACGACCAGCCACACUGGGACUGAGACACGGCCCAGACUCCUACGGGAGGCAGCAGUGGGGAAUUUUGGACAAUGGGCGAAAGCCUGAUCCAGCAAUGCCGCGUGAGUGAAGAAGGCCUUCGGGUUGUAAAGCUCUUUCAGUCGAGAAGAAAAAAUUAUGAUUAAUAAUUAUAAUUGAUGACGGUAUCGACAGAAGAAGCACCGGCUAACUACGUGCCAGCAGCCGCGGUAAUACGUAGGGUGCGAGCGUUAAUCGGAAUUACUGGGCGUAAAGGGUGCGCAGGCAGUUUUGUAAGUCAGAUGUGAAAUCCCCGGGC